ACGGAGACAUGCGAAGUAAAAGUGCAGACAAGCAGUGUCUACUUCGUGCACAACUUGAACGAACUACAACAGGCUGCAACAAAGACACAG
Molecule: long non-coding RNA, 90 nt
Organism: Sinocyclocheilus anshuiensis
Lineage: Eukaryota; Metazoa; Chordata; Actinopteri; Cypriniformes; Cyprinidae
Exons: 3
Source: RefSeq, a predicted model, not a curated record